Candidatus Desantisbacteria bacterium CG1_02_49_89 is the source of this 71-nucleotide non-coding RNA. NCBI's taxonomy places the organism in Bacteria, Candidatus Desantisiibacteriota. The record is from Rfam.
GGGACUGUAAGCUAAUGGUAAACUGGCGGUCUCCAAAACCGCUUUUGGGUGUUCGAAUCACCCCAGUCCCG